GAUGAACGCUGGCGGCGUGCCUAAUACAUGCCAGUCGAGCGGACGGACGAGACUCUUGCUUCUCUGAUGUUAGCGGCGGACGGGUGAGUAACACGUGGAUAACCUACCUAUAAGACUGGGAUAACUUCGGGAAACCGGAGCUAAUCCCGGAUGAUAUUUUGAACCGCAUGGGUCAAAAGUGAAAGACGGUCUUGCUGUCACUUAUAGCUGGAUACGCGCUGCAUUAGCUAGUUGGUAAGGUAACAGCUUACCACGGCAACGAUGCAUAGCCGACCUGAGAGGGUGAUAGGCCACCUGGGAACUGAGACACGGUCCAGACGCCUACGGGAGGCAGCAGUAGGGAAUGGGCCGCAACAGGCGAAAGCAUUACGGAGCAAGCCGGCGCGAGUGAUGGAGGCGUUCGGUGCGUAAAACUCUGCUAUUAGGGAAGAACAUAUGUGGAAGGAACCGUGCACAGCGUGACGGUAAUGAAUCAGAAAGCCACGGCUAACUACGUG
This 497-nucleotide ribosomal RNA is filed under the name uncultured bacterium. RNAcentral's name for it is "partial 16S ribosomal RNA". It matches the Rfam family "Bacterial small subunit ribosomal RNA", at positions 28 to 507 of the family's 1533-position model. The record is from RNAcentral.